AUUGAACGCUGGCGGCAGGCCUAACACAUGCAAGUCGAGCGGAAGGGGCUUCGGCCCUGAGAGCGGCGGACGGGUGAGGAGAGCGUGGGAAUCUGCCUGUAGAUGGGGGAUAGCCCGGAGAAAUCCGGAUUAAUACCGCAUAAUACCUGAGGGUUAAAGUGGAGGAUCGCAAGACUUCACGUCUACAGAUGAGCCCACGUCAGAUUAGCUAGUUGGUAGGGUAAAGGCCUACCAAGGCGACGAUCUGUAGCUGGCCUGAGAGGGUGGCCAGCCAGACUGGAACUGAGACACGGUCCAGACUCCUACGGGAGGCAGCAGUGGGGAAUAUUGGACAAUGGGCGCAAGCCUGAUCCAGCCAUGCCGGGUGUGUGAAGAAGGCCUUCGGGUUGUAAAGCACUUUAAGUUGGGAGGAAGGUUCCUUGGCUAAUAUCCAAGGGAAUUGACGUUACCGACAGAAUAAGCACCGGCUAAUUCCGUGCCAGCCGCCGCCGUAA
This 494-nucleotide ribosomal RNA is filed under the name uncultured bacterium. RNAcentral's name for it is "partial 16S ribosomal RNA". It matches the Rfam family "Bacterial small subunit ribosomal RNA", at positions 30 to 523 of the family's 1533-position model. The record is from RNAcentral.